GACGAACGCUGGCGGCGUGCCUAACACAUGCAAGUCGAACGAGGUCCAUGCAGUGGCAACACUGCGGAAGACCUAGUGGCGAACGGGUGAGUAACACGUGAGGAACCUGCCCCGAAGACCGGGGAUAACCCUCCGAAAGGAGAGCUAAUACCGGGUACCCCCACCUGAUCGCAUGAUCGGGUGAGGAAAAUGGAUUCCGCUUCGGGAGGGCCUCGCGGCCUAUCAGCUUGUUGGUGGGGUAACGGCCCACCAAGGCAUCGACGGGUAGCUGGUCUGAGAGGACGAUCAGCCACACUGGGACUGAGACACGGCCCAGACUCCUACGGGAGGCAGCAGUGGGGAAUCUUGCGCAAUGGGCGAAAGCCUGACGCAGCAACGCCGCGUGGGGGAUGAAGGCUCUCGGGUUGUAAACCCUUUCAGCAGGGACGAAUCAAGACGGUACCUGCAGAGAAGCCCGGCUAACUACGUGCCAGCAGCCGCGU
This 482-nucleotide ribosomal RNA is filed under the name uncultured bacterium. RNAcentral's name for it is "bacterial SSU rRNA". It matches the Rfam family "Bacterial small subunit ribosomal RNA", at positions 28 to 520 of the family's 1533-position model. The record is from RNAcentral.